Molecule: ribosomal RNA, 400 nt
Filed under: uncultured bacterium
Lineage: Bacteria
Description: bacterial SSU rRNA
Rfam family: Bacterial small subunit ribosomal RNA
Source: RNAcentral
UCGAGAAUCUUCCACAAUGGACGAAAGUCUGAUGGAGCGACGCCGCGUGAUCGAUGAAGUGCUUCGGUAUGUAAAGAUCUUUUAUGAGGGAAGAAGUUUAUUGACGGUACCUCAUGAAUAAGGACCUGCAAAACUCGUGCCAGCAGCAGCGGUAAUACGAGUGGUCCAAGCGUUAUCCGGAAUUAUUGGGCGUAAAGGAUGUGUAGGUGGUUGUGUUAGUCGAAUGUCUAACCUCUGUGCUCAACAUGGAGACAGCAUUCGAAACGGCACGACUAGAGUAUGUUAGGGGUAAGCGGAACUCAUAGUGUAGGGGUGAAAUCCGUUGAUAUUAUGGGGAACACCAAAAGCGAAGGCAGCUUACUGGAACAUUACUGACACUGAAACAUGAAAGCGUGGGUAG